RNAcentral lists this ribosomal RNA (667 nucleotides) under uncultured fungus. RNAcentral's name for it is "SSU rRNA". It matches the Rfam family "Eukaryotic small subunit ribosomal RNA", at positions 871 to 1563 of the family's 1831-position model. The record is from RNAcentral. Lineage: Eukaryota; Fungi.
AAUAGGGACAGUCGGGGGCGUCAGUAUUCAAUCGUCAGAGGUGAAAUUCUUGGAUCGAUUGAAGACUAACUACUGCGAAAGCAUUCGCCAAGGAUGUUUUCAUUAAUCAGGAACGAAAGUUAGGGGAUCGAAAACGAUCAGAUACCGUUGUAGUCUUAACCAUAAACUAUGCCGACUGGGGAUCGGGCGAUGUUAUUUCUUGACUCGCUCGGCACCUUACACGAAAGUAAAGUUUUUGGGUUCUGGGGGGAGUAUGGUCGCAAGGCUGAAACUUAAAGAAAUUGACGGAAGGGCACCACAAGGGGUGGAGCCUGCGGCUUAAUUUGACUCAACACGGGGAAACUCACCAGGUCCAGACACAACUAGGAUUGACAGAUUGAGAGCUCUUUCUUGAUUUUGUGGGUGGUGGUGCAUGGCCGUUCUUAGUUGGUGGAGUGAUUUGUCUGCUUAAUUGCGAUAACGAACGAGACCUUAACCUGCUAAAUAGCCCGUGCCGCCUCGGCGGCACGCCGGCUUCUUAGAGGGACUAUCGGCUCAAGCCGAUGGAAGUUUGAGGCAAUAACAGGUCUGUGAUGCCCUUAGAUGUUCUGGGCCAGCGCGCGCGCGACACUGACAGGGCCAGCGAGUUCCUCCUUGGCCGAAAGGCCCGGGUAAUCAUGAAUUGGCU